RNAcentral lists this ribosomal RNA (465 nucleotides) under Vreelandella stevensii. RNAcentral describes it as "partial 16S ribosomal RNA". It matches the Rfam family "Bacterial small subunit ribosomal RNA", at positions 338 to 795 of the family's 1533-position model. The record is from RNAcentral. Lineage: Bacteria; Pseudomonadati; Pseudomonadota; Gammaproteobacteria; Oceanospirillales; Halomonadaceae.
CCUACGGGAGGCUGCAGUGGGGAAUAUUGGACAAUGGGGGCAACCCUGAUCCAGCCAUGCCGCGUGUGUGAAGAAGGCCCUCGGGUUGUAAAGCACUUUCAGUGAGGAAGAACGCCUGGUGGUUAAUACCCAUCAGGAAAGACAUCACUCACAGAAGAAGCACCGGCUAACUCCGUGCCAGCAGCCGCGGUAAUACGGAGGGUGCGAGCGUUAAUCGGAAUUACUGGGCGUAAAGCGCGCGUAGGUGGCUUGAUAAGCCGGUUGUGAAAGCCCCGGGCUCAACCUGGGAACGGCAUCCGGAACUGUCAAGCUAGAGUGCAGGAGAGGAAGGUAGAAUUCCCGGUGUAGCGGUGAAAUGCGUAGCGAUCGGGAGGAAUACCAGUGGCGAAGGCGGCCUUCUGGACUGACACUGACACUGAGGUGCGAAAGCGUGGGUAGCAAACAGGAUUAGAUACCCGGGUAGUC